UGGGGAAUAUUGCACAAUGGGCGCAAGCCUGAUGCAGCCAUGCCGCGUGUGUGAAGAAGGCCUUCGGGUUGUAAAGCACUUUCAGCGGGGAGGAAGGCGAUAAGGUUAAUAACCUUGUCGAUUGACGUUACCCGCAGAAGAAGCACCGGCUAACUCCGUGCCAGCAGCCGCGGUAAUACGGAGGGUGCAAGCGUUAAUCGGAAUUACUGGGCGUAAAGCGCACGCAGGCGGUCUGUCAAGUCUGAUGUGAAAUCCCCGGGCUCAACCUGGGAACUGCAUUCGAAACUGGCAGGCUAGAGUCUUGUAGAGGGGGGUAGAAUUCCAGGUGUAGCGGUGAAAUGCGUAGAGAUCUGGAGGAAUACCGGUGGCGAAGGCGGCCCCCUGGACAAAGACUGACGCUCAGGUGCGAAAGCGUGGGGAGCAAACAGG
This 429-nucleotide ribosomal RNA is filed under the name Chloroflexota bacterium. Its description in RNAcentral is "Chloroflexi bacterium partial 16S ribosomal RNA". It matches the Rfam family "Bacterial small subunit ribosomal RNA", at positions 355 to 776 of the family's 1533-position model. Lineage: Bacteria; Bacillati; Chloroflexota. The record is from RNAcentral.